GGGGGCAUAGCUCAGUUGGUAGAGCGUCUGCUUUGCAAGCAGAAGGUCACCGGUUCGAACCCGGUUGCCUCCACCA
This 76-nucleotide transfer RNA is filed under the name Kiritimatiellia bacterium. Its description in RNAcentral is "Kiritimatiellae bacterium tRNA-Ala". It matches the Rfam family "tRNA". From Rfam's summary of the family: Transfer RNA (tRNA) molecules are approximately 80 nucleotides in length. Their secondary structure includes four short double-helical elements and three loops (D, anti-codon, and T loops). Further hydrogen bonds mediate the characteristic L-shaped molecular structure. tRNAs have two regions of fundamental functional importance: the anti-codon, which is responsible for specific mRNA codon recognition, and the 3' end, to which the tRNAs corresponding amino acid is attached (by aminoacyl-tRNA synthetases). tRNAs cope with the degeneracy of the genetic code in two manners: having more than one tRNA (with a specific anti-codon) for a particular amino acid; and 'wobble' base-pairing, i.e. permitting non-standard base-pairing at the 3rd anti-codon position. The record is from RNAcentral. Lineage: Bacteria; Pseudomonadati; Kiritimatiellota; Kiritimatiellia.